AAACAUGGAGGAUGCUUCUGAUUCUACACAAGGGGUUGCUCCAUUAAUUAAUAAUGUAGCUCUCCCAGGCUCUCCGCCGUCUCUUCCUGUAUCAGUGACAGGCUGUAAAAGUCAUCGAGUAGCCAAUAAAAAGGUAGAAGCGAGAAGUGAAAAGCUCCUCCCAACAGCUCUUCCUCCUUCUGAGCCGAAAGUAGAUCAGAAACUUCCCAGGAGCUCCGAGAGGCGGGGAAGUGGCGGUGGGACGCGAUCCCCCGCGCAGAGCCAGGCCGUGGCAGCGGGAGAAGCGGCGGCUGGCGGCGCGGCGGGGCCGGCGAGAAGCGACCCCCCGGGAGGACAGAGACUCCCCUCGCCCACUUUGUAGUUGAAAAGGUGGAGAAGUGGCAUUCGGCGUGCUCGCAGAUAGGGAAGCGGGGCCGACGCGGGCGGCCAAGGGUCCGGGUGAGCCCGCGGGCGGACAGGAGAUGCCGCUGCUACACCGAAAGCCGUUUGUGAGACAGAAGCCGCCCGCGGACCUGCGGCCGGACGAGGAAGUUUUCUACUGUAAAGUCACCAACGAGAUCUUCCGCCACUACGAUGACUUUUUUGAACGAACCAUUCUGUGCAACAGUCUUGUGUGGAGUUGUGCUGUGACGGGUAGACCUGGACUGACCUAUCAGGAAGCACUUGAGUCAGAAAAAAAAGCAAGACAGAAUCUUCAGAGUUUUCCAGAACCACUAAUUAUUCCAGUUUUAUACUUGACCAACCUUACCCAUCGUUCACGCUUACAUGAAAUUUGUGAUGAUAUUUUUGCAUAUGUCAAGGAUCGCUAUUUUGUUGAAGAAACCGUGGAAGUCAUUAGGAACAAUGGUGCAAGGUUACAGUGUAGGAUUUUGGAAGUCCUCCCUCCAUCACAUCAGAAUGGCUUUGCUAAUGGACAUGUCAGCAGUGUCGAUGGAGAAACUAUUAUCAUCAGUGAUAGUGAUGAUUCAGAAACACAAAACAUUUCCUUUCAAAAUGGGAAGAAAAAAGAUGCAGUCGAUCCCUUAUUAUUCAAGUACAAGGUGCAACCCACUAAAAAAGAAUUGUAUGAGUGUGCUAUUGUUAAAGCAACACAAAUCAGUCGGAGAAAACACUUAUUUUCUCGUGAUAAAUUAAAGCUUUUUCUGAAGCAACACUGUGAACCACAAGAUGGAGUCAUUAAAAUUAAGGCAUCAUCUCUUUCAACAUAUAAAAUAGCAGAACAAGAUUUUUCUUAUUUCUUCCCUGAUGAUCCACCCACAUUUAUCUUUAGUCCUACUAACAGAAGAAGAGGGAGACCUCCCAAACGAGUAUCUAUUAGUCAGGAGGACAGCGUUGCUAAUAAACAGACUAUUGCAGGUUAUAGGAACAAAGCUAUUAAAGAAAGAGACAAACUUUUGAAACAAGAAGAAAUGAAGUCACUGGAUCUAAGUUUGAUCUUCUCCACAGCUUUUGAAAAGGCUAAAUUAAAAAGAGAAAAAGCAGAUGCCCUAGAAGCAAAGAAAAAAGAAAAGGAAGAUAAAGAGAAAAAGAAGGAAGAAUUGAAGAAAAUUGUUGAAGAAGAGAGACUGAAGAAAAAAGAGGAAAAAGAGAGACUUAAAAUAGAAAGGGAAAAGGAAAGAGAAAAAUUACGUGAAGAAAAGCGAAAAUAUAUGGAAUACUUAAAACAGUGGAGUAAACCUAGAGAAGAUAUGGAAUGUGACGAUCUUAAGGAACUUCCAGAACCAACUCCAGUGAAGACUAGACUACCUCCUGAAAUCUUUGGUGAUGCUCUGAUGGUUUUGGAGUUUCUUAAUGCUUUUGGGGAACUUUUUGAUCUUCAAGAUGAGUUUCCUGAGGGAGUAACCCUAGAAGUGUUAGAGGAAGCUCUUGUAGGAAAUGACAGUGAAGGCCCACUAUGUGAAUUGCUUUUUUUCUUCCUGACUGCCAUCUUCCAGGCGAUAGCUGAAGAAGAAGAGGAAGUAGCCAAAGAGCAAAUAACGGAUGCUGACACCAAAGAUUUAACAGAGGCUUUGGAUGAAGAUGCAGACCCCACAAAAUCUGCACUGUCUGCAGUUGCAUCUUUGGCAGCUGCGUGGCCGCAGUUGCACCAGGGCUGCAGUUUGAAAAGCUUGGAUCUUGAUAGCUGCACUCUUUCUGAAAUCCUCAGACUGCACAUCUUAGCUUCAGGUGCUGAUGUAACAUCAGCAAAUGCAAAGUACAGAUACCAAAAGCGAGGAGGAUUUGACGCUACAGAUGACGCCUGUAUGGAGCUUCGUUUGAGCAAUCCCAGUCUAGUGAAGAAACUGGCAAGCACUUCAGUGUAUGAUUUGACACCAGGAGAAAAAAUGAAGAUACUUCAUGCUCUCUGUGGGAAACUCCUGACCCUAGUUUCUACUAGGGAUUUCAUUGAAGAUUACGUUGAUAUAUUACGACAGGCAAAGCAGGAGUUCCGGGAGUUAAAAGCAGAACAACAUCGGAAAGAGAGGGAAGAAGCAGCUGCUAGAAUUCGUAAAAGGAAGGAAGAAAAACUGAAGGAACAAGAACAAAAAAUGAAAGAGAAACAAGAGAAACUGAAGGAAGAGGAGCAGAGAAAUUCAGCUGCAGAUACAUCUGUUGGGGAGGAAGAAAGAGAAGAUUUUGAUACUAGCACUGAGAGCAAAGAAAUAGAGCAAAAGGAACUUGAUCAAGAUACAGUCACUGAAGAUGAAGAUGACCCAGGAUCACAUAAAAGAGGCAGAAGGGGGAAAAGGGGACAAAAUGGAUUUAAAGAAUUUACAAGACAAGAAGAGGUCAACUGUGUAACAAGAGAGCCUCUUACUGCUGAUGAGGAAGAAGCUUUAAAACAGGAACAUCAACGGAAAGAGAAAGAGCUCUUGGAAAAAAUCCAAAGUGCCAUAGCAUGUACCAAUAUCUUUCCCUUGGGCCGAGACCGCAUGUAUAGGCGAUACUGGAUUUUCCCUUCUAUUCCUGGGUUAUUUAUUGAAGAGGAUUAUUCCGGUCUCACUGAAGACAUGCUGUUGCCUAGACCUUCAUCAUUUCAGAAUAGUGUACAGUCUCAAGAUCCUCAGGUAUCCACUAAAACUGGAGAGUCUUUGACGUCUGAAUCUACCUCCAACAUUGACCAAGGUCCAUGUGAUGAUUCCCUGCAGCUGCCAAAACCAGUGCAUAAGCCAAAUCGGUGGUGCUUUUACAGUUCUUGUGAACAGCUAGACCAGCUGAUCGAAGCUCUUAAUUCUAGAGGACACAGAGAAAGUGCCUUAAAAGAAACUUUGUUGCAAGAGAAGAGCAGAAUAUGUGCACAGCUAGCCCAUUUUUCUGAAGAGAAAUUUCAUUUUUCAGACAAACCUCAAACUGAUAGCAAACCUACAUAUAGUCGGGGAAGAUCUUCCACUGCAUGUGAUUCAGCUCAGAUGUCUGCAGAAAGACAGCUUGAAUUGAGGCUGAGAGAUUUUCUUUUGGAUAUUGAAGACAGAAUCUACCAAGGAACAUUAGGAGCAAUUAAGGUUACAGAUCGACACAUCUGGAGAUCAGCAUUAGAGAGUGGACGGUAUGAGCUGUUAAGUGAGGAACACAAGGAAAAUGGGAUCAUUAAGACUGUGAAUGAAGAUGUAGAAGAGAUGGAAAUUGAUGAGCAAGCAAAGGUCAUAGUAAGAGACAGACUUUUGGGCAUAAAAACAGAAACUCCAAGUACUGUCUCAACUAAUGCAAGUACCCCCCAGUCAGUGAGCAAUGUGGUUCAUUAUCUGGCAAUGGCGCUUUUUCAGAUAGAGCAGGGCAUUGAGCGGCGUUUUCUCAAAGCUCCACUCGAUGCCAGUGACAGUGGGCGUUCUUACAAAACAGUCCUGGACCGUUGGAGAGAGUCUCUCCUUGCUUCUGCUAGUCUAUCCCAAGUCUUUCUUCAUCUGUCCACCUUGGAUCGUAGCGUGAUAUGGUCUAAAUCUAUACUGAAUGCUCGUUGCAAGAUAUGCCGAAAGAAGGGUGAUGCUGAAAACAUGGUACUUUGUGAUGGCUGUGAUCGGGGUCAUCAUACCUACUGUGUUCGACCAAAACUCAAGACUGUGCCUGAAGGAGAUUGGUUUUGUCCAGAGUGUCGGCCAAAGCAACGUUCUAGGAGACUCUCCUCUAGACAGAGACCAUCCUUGGAAAGUGAUGAAGAGAUGGAAGACAGUAUGGAAGGUGAGGAUGAUGAAGUUGAUGAUGAUGAUGAAGAGGGUCAAAGUGAGGAGGAGGAGUAUGAGAUAGAACAAGAUGAAGAUGACUCUCAAGAAGAGGAAGAAGUCAGCCCACCAAAACGAGGAAGACCGCAAGUUAGAUUGCCAAUUAAAACAAGAGGGAGACUUAGCUCUUCUUUCUCAAGUCGUGGCCAACGACAAGAUCCUGGAAGAUACACUUCAAGGAGUCAGCAGAGUACACCCAAAACAACUGUUUCCUCUAAAACCACUGGUAGAAGCCUUAGAAAGAUAAAGUCUGCCCCUCCAACAGAAACUAAAUCUUUAAGAAUUGCCGGUCGUUCUACUCGCCAGAGUUAUGGCCCACUGCAAGCAGAUGUAUUUGUGGAACUACUUAGUCCUCGUAGAAGACGCAGAGGCAGGAAGAGUGCUAAUAAUACACCAGAAAAUAGUCCCAACUUCCCUAACUUCAGAGUCAUUGCCACAAAGUCAAGUGAGAAGUCAAGAUCUCUCAAUGUUACUCCAAAACUUUCUCUCCAAGAUAGUGAAUCCAAGAGAAGAGGAAGGAAAAGACAAUCUACAGAAUUCCUCUCCUAUGACCCUGAGUCGAAGGAGUUCAGGCCGACAAGGAGGAGUUCACGAAUUGUCUGCUUUUGAACAGCUUGUUGUGGAACUGGUACGGCAUGAUGACAGCUGGCCGUUUUUGAGACUUGUUUCCAAAAUCCAGGUCCCAGACUAUUAUGACAUCAUCAAAAAGCCCAUUGCCUUAAAUAUAAUUCGUGAAAAAGUGAACAAAUGUGAAUAUAAAUUAGCAUCGGAAUUUAUCGAUGAUAUUGAGUUAAUGUUUUCGAACUGCUUUGAGUACAACCCUCGUAACACAAGUGAAGCAAAAGCUGGAACUAGGCUUCAAGCAUUUUUUCAUAUUCAGGCUCAAAAACUUGGACUCCAUGUCACACCUGGGAAUGUGGAUCAAGUUAGCACACCACCAGCUGCAAAAAAGUCACGAAUCUAAUUUUGUCCUUCUAAAGGAUAUAUUUGAGGAAAACAAAUUGUUCACGAAAAUGGAACAUUAAAUCAUGCUCUAAAGCAGACAUAUAUAUAUAAAGCAAUAACAACUGAUUGACCACACUGAAGUGUGGCCUGCACUAUAUUCUCAAUUUUAAUAUUAAGCACUCAGGAGAAUGUAGGAAAGAUUUCCUUUGCUACAGUUUUGUUCAGUAUCUAAUAAGUUUGAUAGAUGUAUUGGAUACAGUACUGGUUUACAGAGGUUUUUGUACAUUUUGAGAUCAUUCAUGUGUCCCAAUAUCUUUGAAAAUAUUUUUUCACCUGUGAUUUAUUUUGUCAUUGAUUUUUUUUUUAGAAGUGGUAUUAAGGAAGAUUUAUCUGUAUACAGAUAAAUCUAUUAUAGCACAGUUUAGAAAAGUAUAUAUGUCUAAGAAUUGUUUAAUGAGCACAUUCUUUCAACACUACACAUGAAUGAAUCCAAUUUUAUAUCCUUGAAGUGCUGUACCAGUGCUGGCUGGAGGUAUUAAGUCUGAGUUUAUUAACUAGAUAUUUAUUUAGCAUUCAAAAUAAUUUGUGAAUUUGUUUUGUAUUUAUAAAAUUUGUACCUGGAAAAUGUUCUUUAAUUUUUUAAACAUUUUACUGUGUUUUUGUUUUCUUUCUCUAACUUCCUUAAUGAUCAAUCAAUAAAAGGUAACACCGCUCCCCUUCUCCCUGACAGUUCUUCCAGUUUUUUUAGAACUGUAUUACAACUUUCUAUGUACAACUUUUUAAGUGUACAAAUAAAAUGAUACAUGUUUUUCAAGUA
Zalophus californianus (California sea lion) is the source of this 5958-nucleotide RNA transcript. It is a transcript of the gene named bromodomain adjacent to zinc finger domain 1A, with no coding region annotated. The record is from RefSeq and is a predicted model, not a curated record. Lineage: Eukaryota; Metazoa; Chordata; Mammalia; Carnivora; Otariidae. The transcript has 27 exons.